CUCCCCCUCCCCCUCGUCCUCCUCAUCUUCCUCCUCUUCAGCCGCUGCUGCAGCAGCACAGCCCGGUGUCUCCAGGAUGGAUCCAUGAAGAAAGCCACUUCCUCCCCGCACGCACGACACCUCCCCCGCCACGAUGGGCCGCGACCAAAUAAAAACCUUGUUAUGCUGAUAUAUCUGGAUAUCUCAGCAAUCAAAUAUGAAUCAUGCAUUUGAUAUUUCUGGCCACUUUGCUCGUCAGCGUCCAUUCGCCGGGGCUUCAUCCAUCACUGGCUUCGUCGGUUUCACCCGGAGUCGAGGACGAGGCUGAGAGGGACGCAGAGGAAGCAUUGCUAAAGCAACAGGCAACUGCAGCACCUGGCACAGAUAGCACAACACACCAUGCAGAGGAGCAUGAGAUCACUUACCCCUCACGGUUGAUCUACUAUCUGAACGAGGAUACGGAGAGCACCUACCAUGACCUUAACACAUGGGCCAAGAACCAAGCCACAGCGGACCAGCCCGUCCACCUCGCCCAAGUCAGUUUCCAAUUAGAGGCAUUUGGCUCCAGGUUUGUUCUGGAUCUAAAACUAAACAAUGACCUGCUGUCUUCUGAUUAUGUGGAGAUCCACUAUGAAGAUGGGAAACCAGUUCUCUCAAAGGGAGGUGAGCACUGUUACUACCACGGCCAGGUGAGGGGGAGCGAUAACUCCCAAGUGGCCUUAUCUACCUGCAACGGGUUGCACGGGAUGUUUGACGACGGAGUCCACGUGUAUCUAAUCGAGCCUUUGCACCAGACUCAUUUAAUCGACACAGCUGCAAGGCCUCACAAGCUGAGACGAACAGCCUCGGGUCCGCUGAGCGGUGAUUCAGAGGAGCAGGUGAAGGAGGAGCAACUCCUCUCAGAGCUGGAUGAGUUGUCCUGGCUGAAGCGCAGAAAAAAGCGAGCAAUGCCUCGCAGCGUGUUUGAGGAGAUGAAGUAUUUAGAAGUCAUGAUUGUCAGUGACCACAGUAUGUAUAAGCGACACAAGAACAAACAGCACACUAGAAAUUUUGCCAAGUCGGUUGUGAAUCUUGUGGAUAGUAUCUUCAAAGACCAGCUGCAUACGCGCGUGGUUCUUGUUGCUUUGGAGAUCUGGACGGAUAAAGAUCAGAUCCCCAUCAGCGUGAAGCCUCUGGAAAUGCUACGGGAUUUCUCCAAGUACCGACAGCAGAGCAUCAAGCUGCACGCCGACUCGGUGCAGCUCCUCUCAAACGAGGCCUUCCACUACCGCAGAAGCAGCACUGCAUACUUUGGAGGCCUGUGCUCUGUGAGCCGAGGGGUUGGGGUCAACGAGUAUGGCUCCACCCCGUCCAUGGUAGUGUUCUUAUCCCAGAGCCUGGCGCAGAACAUGGGCAUCCAGUGGGACCCUGAAUCCAAGCGCAAAGAAUGUGGCUGUGCUAACUUGUUGACCGGGUGCAUCAUGGAGGACACCGGAGUCCAGCACCCACAGAAAUUCUCCAAAUGCAGCAUCACAGACUUCAAGGAGUUCCUUUUAAAAGGAGGAGGCUCGUGUCUGUUCAACAGGCCGACUAAGCUGUUUGAGGUUGCACAUUGUGGGAAUGGGUUUGUGGAAGCUGGGGAAGAGUGCGACUGCGGGCUGAGAGCAGACUGCUACAAGGAAUGCUGCAAGAAGUGCUCCCUCGCCAACGGGGCGCACUGCAGCGACGGGCCUUGCUGCAAUCACACGUGUCUGUUCUACCCGCGAGGCUACAGCUGUCGCUUUGCUGUGAAUGACUGUGACAUCUCAGAGACCUGCUCUGGAGACUCUGGACAGUGUCCUCCCAACCUGCAUAAGCAGGACGGUUACGUCUGCCAGGUAAACCAGGGUCGCUGUUACAGCGGAGAGUGCAAGACCAGAGACAACCAGUGUAAAUACAUCUGGGGAUCAAAGGCUGGAGGUUCAGAGAAGUACUGCUAUGAGAAGCUAAACACUGAAGGAACAGAAAAGGGGAACUGUGGAGGAGAUGUAAACCAAAGGAUCCCGUGUAGCAAACAUGAUGUGUUCUGUGGGUAUCUUCUGUGCGCCAAUGUGGGACGAAUGCCACGCAUCGGAACAGUGAAAGGAGAAACUACCCCCGCCUCCUUUAAUCACCAAGGCAAAGUGAUACAGUGCACUGGUGCCCACGUCCUUUUGGAUGAUGACACAGAUUUAGGCUACGUGGAGGAUGGGACUCCCUGUGGGCCGUCCAUGAUGUGCCUUGACCACAAGUGUCUGCCCAUCCAGUCACUCAACAUGAGCUCUUGCCCCAUCGGACCUAACGGGCAGGUGUGCUCUGCCCAUGGCGUGUGCAACAAUGAAGCCACAUGCACCUGUGACACCACCUGGGCAGGGACCGACUGCAGCAUGUCUGACCCACCCAAAAAGCCUGAUGUCACUCCAGACGAAGAACCCAAGGUGAGCGUGGCCACUAACAGGCUGAUAGGGGCAGUAGCAGGGACCAUUCUGGCCCUGGGGGUGAUUUUUGGAGGCACAGGGUGGGGAAUAGAGUCCUAGUGCCACCAAUCUAAUAAUAGGCUCCAUCGCCGGAGCCAUCCUUGUGGCUGCCAUAGUGCUGGGGGGGACUGGAUGGGGCUUUAAAAAUGUGAAGAAACGACGUUACGACCCCAACGCCCAGGCCAUUUAACCCGCGGAGAGAUGACAGCCUCCGAGGCUUCCUCAGUUGGCUACCUGACAGCUGGACUGCACUUACUGCUGCUGAUUUUUGGCAUUAGUUCUACUUGAAAAAGACAUAGUGGACAUCGUAACAGAUUCCAUUGUAGUGACAUUAUAAAUGCAGCCUUUUGAACUCCACGUGUAACCUUUCCCCCCAACUCCUCCACCCUAACCUCUAUAGAGCAACGGAGCUCCUCUACCCUCCCCUAGUGCCAGUGCACAGGCGUUCAGGCGGAAUCCACACCAUCCUCUCACCUGGCAUGACUAUCCACACAAAGUGUGCUGCUUGCAGGACCAUUAGCAUGAAGAGCCCUCCCUGCAGGACUCGGCAUGGCUACCAAAGCUAUAAUUUUACUGCAAGAAAAUAUAAAAAAAAACAACUAAAAAGACAUAAAAAGAAGAAAUUAUUCAUUGCAGGAGAAAGCCUCGUUAAAAACCAAACCCACUGGAAAGCCAGUUAAAACUACAGUUCACAUUCAGGUGCUGCAUGCAAGGACAGUGCAGACCAUGUGGUGCAGGCGGGCACAAAACUGUACAUAAAUAGGGAGUUUAGGGGUCAGCUGCUUUUGUUUUUUAUUCCAGCAUGUUUUACAGCAGGCGUUUCUGAAAAAACAAAGCUACUGCUUUUACAAUUUGGGUCAAAAUUAUUCGAUUUUAUGAUAGAGCAGCUGUGGUGAGGAUGAACCAGGUCUGGAUGGAUCCAGACCCUGACAAGAUCUCCCCUUGAAAUAUCUCCAGCGGUGACUCCAAAGCCAAAGAACCAAUCACCUGAACGUAUGGAUGUUGUUGCACACAGAGCACUUUCCUCUCCCUCUGUCUGCAGCCAGUGGUGCCUCUCCUUCUGCUGAGGGCAUGAAGUCUGUCCACACGGGCGCUCACCUGUCCAGUCAGGUCUCCAAACAGUCCUCAUCUAUUACUGGCUUAGCCUUUUUGCUCUCACCAACUCUUAAUAGGAAACAGUUUCAGCUUUUUUGGUAACACUGCAUGAAGUCACUUAUAGUGGGGCUUGUAAUUCUAUAUGGGAGGCCCCUAAACCUGCAAGAAAAAUAUGCUACAAAAGAUAGGUGCAUGUAAAAAAAAAAACCAGGACGUUUAACUUUUAUUUACUAUGCAAAAAGAGAUAUUGCACAAAAGAGUGGGUAAUAGCGACAACAAUGUAGACAUGAAACCACAAACUCAUCCGCUGAUCAGCUGAUCUUUUCUAUUUCGCCACUUCUUUCAUUUCUCUCCAAACUAUAAACGAACACAAUUCAUACGUUUAAUAAUAACGAUAAUAAACUGAAUCGAUAUUUCCAGUUUAAAGCGAGAGAGCACCCUUUCACAUUUGUGGAACUGAAAGUGAUAUUUGUGUGUUUUUCAUCCAGUUUGAUAUUUUUAACCACACACACACACAAUCUCAGACUGUAUGGCGCCCGUUCUUCGUGCUGGCCCAUCGUUUCCUGUCCAGCUGAUAGUUGGUGUGUUCCAGGUGCUGCCGAAGCACUGGCAUCGUUGUAAUCCUCCGUGUUAAUCAACGUCUGGUGUCCCUCUCUCACUGCAUCAUGUACAGUUGGACUCAUUAAUAAACUUCUGAUGAAUUUUA
Molecule: RNA transcript, 4254 nt
Organism: Nothobranchius furzeri (turquoise killifish)
Lineage: Eukaryota; Metazoa; Chordata; Actinopteri; Cyprinodontiformes; Nothobranchiidae
Gene: adam23b
Gene name: ADAM metallopeptidase domain 23b
Source: RefSeq, a predicted model, not a curated record